UUUUGGGAGUCGUAGUUUUUCUCUCUCCUUUCACAAGUGGCCUGUGAGGGCGUCUUCUCAGCUUUCCUCUACGUUUCCGUGUGGCUCGCUCUGUUUUGAGCCAGAUGCACAACAAAUAAUACAAAGCUUUGUAAGAGCCUGGAAAUUGUAGAGUUGAGGACACAGGAACAGUGUCUCACUGAAGAUGAAAUAUGACUGAAGGGUCUUCUAUUGCUCCAGCUUCCAGAAGUGCUAAUUGACAGUCCUCAGGUGUCAGCCCUCCCCAGAAAUUGUCCCUGGCUAAAGAGUCACCUUGCCCAUGGUCAGAGCUGCUUCCAAGAGACUCCCUAAUUAGCUCAGGCUCUGGCCCAGAGGACUGCAUGGCUGUAUUUAACCACCUGGGAAGUGGCUCUGGAAAGAUGCUGGCUCAGCGUAAGCAACUGGGUUGUAUCCUGGCUGCCUUUGGGUGAGAGUUUUAUUUUUAACUCGCCUCUCUUUCAGAUGAUUGCUGAAGUCUGAUCGUAGUGAGGAGAGCUCCCUUUCAUUUUUAGACAAUUUCCCCCCUAUUUAGUGGAGUUCAUAACUCUUUUCUUCUUGUAUUUUGCCACUAGGAGAAGGGAAUAAAAUGUUAGACUUACCUAGAAAAUGUUAUAUACAUAAUACUAAAGAUUUGCUAUAUAUUUUUCCUCUCUGGAGAUUUUGGAGGAACAACUCUCUAUUCUUUUCUUUUGGUCUCCUAUCAUGCAGUGAUAUAAUAAAUAAAAUAAAGUAAAAUAAAAUAAGCAGUUCGUUUGCAAUCUUCAGUAUGGUAAAGUGACACUGUAGAAAAUGACACAGCCUUGCCUACUUAUAGUGCUUACUGUAAUAUAAAGCAGACUGAAAUGAAGAUCACAGAGGAGUAUUCAUAGUGUCCUUUGAGAGCUCAGAGUACUUAAAAGGGGAUCAGGGAGUGCUCCCUAGAAAAUGUGGUAUUUAUGUAGGGCUUUAAAGAUGAAAAGACUUUAUAGGCCAAGAGGAGGCUAGGGGCAUUUCCUAGUCAGUGAACUGAGUGGAAAAAGACAGGAGUCUUAAGAAUGCUUGAUGGGUUGCUGGAGUAGAAACAGACCAUUAUUAAUGAGUGUCGGGUACAUGGUUGUGUGUACUAGGAGACAAAACUAAAGAGAUAUGUUGGAGCAGGAGCCAGGAGGGUCUUAGUCUGGGGAAUCUAGAUCUCUUCCCACAGAGUUUGGAACCAGUUGAAUUAUUUUUUUCUUUAAAAAACAUCACAGACCUUUUCCUUGAAUUAUUUUGGAGUCAUGUGUUUUUU
This is a long non-coding RNA of Felis catus (domestic cat), 1285 nucleotides long. RefSeq lists it as uncharacterized. NCBI's taxonomy places the organism in Eukaryota, Metazoa, Chordata, Mammalia, Carnivora, Felidae. The transcript has 4 exons. The record is from RefSeq and is a predicted model, not a curated record.